AUGCUCAUUUCGGCAGCACAGAUACUAAAAUUGGAACAAUACAGAGAAGAUUAGCAUGGCCCUUGCGCAAGGAUGACACACAAAUUCAUGAAGGGUCUUCCACUCAC
This 107-nucleotide small nuclear RNA is filed under the name Octodon degus (degu). Lineage: Eukaryota; Metazoa; Chordata; Mammalia; Rodentia; Octodontidae. The record is from RNAcentral.